RNAcentral lists this long non-coding RNA (420 nucleotides) under Homo sapiens (human). Its description in RNAcentral is "HSALNT0240180". The record is from RNAcentral. Lineage: Eukaryota; Metazoa; Chordata; Mammalia; Primates; Hominidae.
CUCUGGAGAAAUGGAGACCACACAGUGCACAGAGACAAGGGGCGCCUCUCUCUCAACAAACCCCAGGCUGGCGGGGCUGCAAAAGAGGGCUCAGAGGGAGCUUGACGGACCCUAAAACCUGACUCCACAGACUAUGAAAAACCCUGGGGGAGAGAAAAGCACAGGAAGGCCAGAAGGGAAAGAAGAAAGAGAUAGAAGAGAAGACAGCAAAGGAAGAUAAGAAAAAUGCAAGCUCUGGCCGGGCACAGUGGCUCACACCUAUAGUCCCAGCACUUUGGGAGGCGGCCUGAGGAGGAUUGAGAUGAAAUACUGUAUGGAAAACGUCGAGUGCAGCACAUUGUUAAUGUAUAAUAGAUGUCAGCUACUGCUAUUCAAAAGUGGCUUCCGCAGCGUCCUCAUUCGCUCCCGCGCGUCCUCAAU